GACGAACGCUGGCGGCGUGCUUAACACAUGCAAGUCGAACGGAAAGGCCCUGCUUUUGUGGGGUGCUCGAGUGGCGAACGGGUGAGUAACACGUGAGUAACCUGCCCUUGACUUUGGGAUAACUUCAGGAAACUGGGGCUAAUACCGGAUAGGAGCUCCUGCUGCAUGGUGGGGGUUGGAAAGUUUCGGCGGUUGGGGAUGGACUCGCGGCUUAUCAGCUUGUUGGUGGGGUAGUGGCUUACCAAGGCUUUGACCGGUAGCCGGCCUGAGAGGGUGACCGGCCACAUUGGGACUGAGAUACGGCCCAGACUCCUACGGGGGGCAGAAGGGGGGAAUAUGGCACAAUGGGCGGAAGCCUGAUGCAGCAACGCCGCGUGCGGGAUGACGGCCUUCGGGUUGUAAACCGCUUUCGCCUGUGACGAAGCGUGAGUGACGGUAAUGGGUAAAGAAGCACCGGCUAACUACGUG
Molecule: ribosomal RNA, 468 nt
Filed under: uncultured bacterium
Lineage: Bacteria
Description: partial 16S ribosomal RNA
Rfam family: Bacterial small subunit ribosomal RNA
Source: RNAcentral